RNAcentral lists this ribosomal RNA (499 nucleotides) under uncultured bacterium. Its description in RNAcentral is "bacterial SSU rRNA". It matches the Rfam family "Bacterial small subunit ribosomal RNA", at positions 32 to 518 of the family's 1533-position model. The record is from RNAcentral.
AACGCUGGCGGCGUGCCUAACACAUGCAAGUCGAGCGGAGACAUGCGACGGAGCGGAAGUCUUCGGAUGGAAGCAAAGAUGUAUGUUUAGCGGCGGACGGGUGAGUAACGCGUGAGCAACCUGUCCCUCACAGGGGGAUAACACAGCGAAAGUUGUACUAAUACCGCAUAAGACCACAGCAGGGCAUCCUGCGGGGGUCAAAGGAGCAAUCCGGUGAGGGGUGGGCUCGCGUCCGAUUAGAUAGUUGGUGGGUAACGGCCUACCAAGUCGACGAUCGGUAGCCGACCUGAGAGGGUGAUCGGCCACAUUGGGACUGAGACACGGCCCAAACUCCUACGGGAGGCAGCAGUGGGGAAUAUUGGGCAAUGGGGGGAAACCCCUGACCCAGCAACGCCGCGUGAGGGAAGAAGGUUUUCGGAUCGUAAACCUCUGUCCUUGGUGAAGAGGAAGAGACGGUAGCCAAGGAGGAAGCCCCGGCUAACUACGUGCCAGCCGCUGC